AGCAUCCAAGAUGCUGUGUCGAACGGUUCUGAAAGCAGUAAUAUUACGCUCGUUAAUUAUGUGCAAUGAGAUACCCUAACAUGUUGGCUCCCGUGUCACUUGUUGGUUGCAUAACAUGAAAUUCCACGAGGAUGUCUUAUGCUAGUGCUUCUCAAACUUUUUUAGUCACGAGGGUAUAGCCGAUUUUUUAACUCACCAAGGAAGGCAGUAGGAGAUAUUAUACCGGUCCUCUUGGCUACCACAAUUGCGAUUCCAGUUUCCAUGUACGGCACUGUGAAGUCCACCACGGCUUCUCUUUCAGAAUUAAUCAUUAAAGACGUCAUCACCAUGUCGGUCUUUCGAUUUACCAGAUUUGAAAGCUCCUCAGAAAGCUACUACUAACGCUACUUAAGAGUGGCUGUAUCGAAAUGGGACAAUAGUAUCUAAGAGAAGAAAGUGCACACUAAUGGAAACUAACAAGAUCCAAUGGUAUC
This is a long non-coding RNA of Hylaeus volcanicus, 473 nucleotides long. RefSeq lists it as uncharacterized. Lineage: Eukaryota; Metazoa; Arthropoda; Insecta; Hymenoptera; Colletidae. The record is from RefSeq and is a predicted model, not a curated record. The transcript is spliced from 3 exons.